ACUAUUCACCAGCAGGAGCUGCGCCGGGGCAGGAGGUGCCAGUGCUGACCCAACGCUGGAAGGCACUUCAGUCUGACCCACUCCUUUGGUCGUCCCUGGCCAGCUCCCUGGAAGGCUGUUAACAUCCUUCUUUAUGAGCUGGGGGCGAGCCAAGUCUCUCACCUCAUCUGGGACUCCCUGGCAGCUACCUUUGGUCUUCUCACCAUGCCCGGUGCCUGCACUGGAGACGUAUGGCUCCUUUCCACAUGCUGGCAACCUCAGGCCUGGCGAGAGCUUCAAUGGAAGGGCAAGUCUCUGUUCCCAUGUGCUCUCAGGUGGAUGACAAGGAGGUUUGGGAAGGGACGUAUGUAUGAAAGAUUCGGGCUAGAACCACAGUGGAACUGGCUGGCAGGAGUGGGUGAGCUACGCUGCUUCUCCGGCUGCUUGCAAAGUCUUCUGGAGGACGAGAAGGUCUCCAUAGACUCAUUUGUGGACAGAAGAAAGUGGAGCGGCUCCCCUUUCCUUUGAGGUCACACUCUGGAACAACCCAGCUCUCUACCUCCCCUGCUUCAAGCCAAGGACUCAAGCCAACUCUCAUCUGGACCCCUGCCUUGGCCCCCUAGUGAUCUUCCCAUUUUCCUAACCCUGCUCUGUAGACUCUGUUCCUAAACUAGGUAUUCAACCUGCUGCAGAAGAGCUUGUCCAGCCA
Non-coding RNA from Myodes glareolus (Bank vole), 688 nucleotides. The record is from RefSeq and is a predicted model, not a curated record. NCBI's taxonomy places the organism in Eukaryota, Metazoa, Chordata, Mammalia, Rodentia, Cricetidae.